UCCCCGGUGGCUCAGCAGUAAAGAAUCUGCCUGCAAUGCAGAAGACACAGGAUGCCCAGGUUCAAUCCCUGGUUUGGGGA
RNAcentral lists this transfer RNA (80 nucleotides) under Ovis aries (sheep). It matches the Rfam family "tRNA". From Rfam's summary of the family: Transfer RNA (tRNA) molecules are approximately 80 nucleotides in length. Their secondary structure includes four short double-helical elements and three loops (D, anti-codon, and T loops). Further hydrogen bonds mediate the characteristic L-shaped molecular structure. tRNAs have two regions of fundamental functional importance: the anti-codon, which is responsible for specific mRNA codon recognition, and the 3' end, to which the tRNAs corresponding amino acid is attached (by aminoacyl-tRNA synthetases). tRNAs cope with the degeneracy of the genetic code in two manners: having more than one tRNA (with a specific anti-codon) for a particular amino acid; and 'wobble' base-pairing, i.e. permitting non-standard base-pairing at the 3rd anti-codon position. Lineage: Eukaryota; Metazoa; Chordata; Mammalia; Artiodactyla; Bovidae. The record is from Rfam by way of RNAcentral.